AAAACAAAAAACAAAAAAUGAGGGAUUUGAUUUCAAAUCGAAGAAGAGCUCGUGUCGUAAAAGCUCUUCGAAUCCCUUCGCUCACUUUGAGCUCAGAACCUCCUCUACUCUCACUUCCGGCUCUCGAUUUUGCAGAUUGGUUUUGCUUUCUUGAAAUAAUCUUGUUCGUGAUACUUUGUCUGUCAUCUACUUCUGGAAUAACAAAAAUCCGAGAAAAAAACAGGUAUUUCCUUUUAGAUUUCCUUGAAUUAAUGGUCUUCGUUUGAUUGCUCUACUCCUCAAAUUAAUGAAUGAUUUCAUUAAUUCAAAAAAAAAAAAAAAAAAAAAGGCUGAAGAAUCUUGAGUCAUCAAUAUCCUUCCUGAAUCUAAUAACGUUGGAUGUAUGUGGGACUGCAAGAAGAUGAAAUAUUUAACAAGCUACGAGGUAGCUAAAAGUUUAGUGCAACUCACAACAUUGAAAGUUUGGUAUUGUGAAAGACUGGCGGAAAUUAUAGUAGCAAGCAGCAACCGAGAUGAUGAUGGCGACAACGAGAAUGCAGGAGGAAUUGUUUUCAAAAGGUUACGGCCGGCAUUUGACACUUCUUCAACUACCAAGACUGCAAGGAUUUUGCUUGGGAAGAAAUUGCAUCGUCAAAUUCCCAUCCUUGCAAACCUUGGACAUCAGCAAGCGCCUCAAUAAACUGAUCGAAGAUCGAUUGUCCCUCAUCGUGACCAAACCCUAUUGAAGAUUGGCAAUUGAAGGGCAAGAUUGCUGGUGAUGGCAAUGUGGACAACAAGGAUAAUGCACAGGACGAGGUCACUAAUGAACAAUAGAUUCAUAUCCCAACUUGGAGAUUUAGGACUGUCCACACCCAGCAGAGUUCCCAAGCAAACUAAAGUAUAUUUGCUUCGGUUUCUAGGCAUGCUGUGAACGCCAUUUCCACCAUUGCCUCUCUUAAUCUUGUAUAAUAAA
Molecule: long non-coding RNA, 952 nt
Organism: Rosa rugosa (rugosa rose)
Lineage: Eukaryota; Viridiplantae; Streptophyta; Magnoliopsida; Rosales; Rosaceae
Exons: 3
Source: RefSeq, a predicted model, not a curated record